CCUACGGGUGGCAGCAGUGAGGAAUAUUGGUCAAUGGGGGAGAGCCUGAACCAGCCAAGUAGCGUGAAGGAUGACUGCCCUACGGGUGGUAAACUUCUUUUAUAAAGGAAUAAAGUGAGGCAUGUAUGCCUUUUUGUAUGUACUUUAUGAUUCAGGAUCGGCUAAAUCCGUGCCAGCAGCCGCGGUAAUACGGAGGAUCCGAGCGUUAUCCGGAUUUAGUGGGGUUAAAGGGAGCGUAGAUGGGUUGUUAAGUCAGUUGUGAAAGUUUGCGGCUCAACCGUAAAAUUGCAAUUGAUACUGGCAGUCUUGAGUACAGUUGAGGUAGGCGGAAUUCGUGGUGUAGCGGUGAAAUGCUUAGAUAUCACGAAGAACUCUGAUUGCGAAGGCAGCUUACUAAACUGCCACUGACAUUGAUGCUCGAAAGUGUGGGUAUCAAACAGGAUUAGAUACCCUUGUAGUC
RNAcentral lists this ribosomal RNA (460 nucleotides) under uncultured bacterium. RNAcentral's name for it is "partial 16S ribosomal RNA". It matches the Rfam family "Bacterial small subunit ribosomal RNA", at positions 338 to 795 of the family's 1533-position model. The record is from RNAcentral.